GAUGAACGCUGGCGGCGUGCUUAACACAUGCAAGUCGAACGAGAAAUGGAGACGGACACCUUCGGGCGGAAGGCUUCAUUUCGAGUGGCGGACGGGUGAGUAACGCGUGGGUAACCUGCCUCAUACAGGGGGAUAACAGUUGGAAACGACUGUUAAUACCGCAUAAGACCACAGCACCGCAUGGUGCGGGGGUAAAAACUCCGGUGGUAUGAGAUGGACCCGCGUUCGAUUAGCCAGUUGGCGGGGUAACGGCCCACCAAAGCGACGAUCGAUAGCCGAUCUGAGAGGAUGACCGGCCACAUUGGGACUGAGACACGGCCCAAACUCCUACGGGAGGCAGCAGUGGGGAAUAUUGCACAAUGGGGGAAACCCUGAUGCAGCGACGCCGCGUGAGUGAAGAAGUACUUCGGUAUGUAAAGCCCUAUCAGCAGGGAAGAAAAUGACGGUACCUGAGGAAGAAGCCCCGGCUAACUACGUG
RNAcentral lists this ribosomal RNA (478 nucleotides) under uncultured bacterium. RNAcentral describes it as "partial 16S ribosomal RNA". It matches the Rfam family "Bacterial small subunit ribosomal RNA", at positions 28 to 507 of the family's 1533-position model. The record is from RNAcentral.